GUAGUCCACGCCCUAAACGAUGCGAACUGGAUGUUGGGUGCAAUUUGGCACGCAGUAUCGAAGCUAACGCGUUAAGUUCGCCGCCUGGGGAGUACGGUCGCAAGACUGAAACUCAAAGGAAUUGACGGGGGCCCGCACAAGCGGUGGAGUAUGUGGUUUAAUUCGAUGCAACGCGAAGAACCUUACCUGGCCUUGACAUGCACGGAACUUUCCAGAGAUGGAUUGGUGCCUUCGGGAACCGUGACACAGGUGCUGCAUGGCUGUCGUCAGCUCGUGUCGUGAGAUGUUGGGUUAAGUCCCGCAACGAGCGCAACCCUUGUCCUUAGUUGCCAGCACGUAAUGGUGGGAACUCUAAGGAGACCGCCGGUGACAAACCGGAGGAAGGUGGGGAUGACGU
This 397-nucleotide ribosomal RNA is filed under the name uncultured Stenotrophomonas sp. RNAcentral's name for it is "bacterial SSU rRNA". It matches the Rfam family "Bacterial small subunit ribosomal RNA", at positions 790 to 1185 of the family's 1533-position model. The record is from RNAcentral. Lineage: Bacteria; Pseudomonadati; Pseudomonadota; Gammaproteobacteria; Lysobacterales; Lysobacteraceae.